CCGGCCGUCUGAUUAAAUGUCAUAACGACUCUCGGCAACGGAUAUCUCGGCUCUCGCAUCGAUGAAGAACGUAGCGAAAUGCGAUACUUGGUGUGAAUUGCAGAAUCCCGUGAACCAUCGAGUCUUUGAACGCAAGUUGCGCCCGAAGCCGUCAGGCCGAGGGCACGUCUGCCUGGGCGUCACGCAUCGCGUCGCCCCCCUCCCCUCGCACCGCUU
Molecule: ribosomal RNA, 216 nt
Filed under: Nepeta racemosa
Lineage: Eukaryota; Viridiplantae; Streptophyta; Magnoliopsida; Lamiales; Lamiaceae
Description: 5.8S ribosomal RNA
Rfam family: 5.8S ribosomal RNA (bases 27-182)
About the family: 5.8S ribosomal RNA (5.8S rRNA) is a component of the large subunit of the eukaryotic ribosome.
Source: RNAcentral